Molecule: ribosomal RNA, 468 nt
Filed under: uncultured bacterium
Lineage: Bacteria
Description: partial 16S ribosomal RNA
Rfam family: Bacterial small subunit ribosomal RNA
Source: RNAcentral
GACGAACGCUGGCGGCGUGCUUAACACAUGCAAGUCGAACGGAAAGGCCCUGCUUUUGUGGGGUGCUCGAGUGGCGAACGGGUGAGUAACACGUGAGUAACCUGCCCUUGACUUUGGGAUAACUUCAGGAAACUGGGGCUAAUACCGGAUAGGAGCUCCUGCUGCAUGGUGGGGGUUGGAAAGUUUCGGCGGUUGGGGCUGGAAUCGCGGCUUAUCAGCUUGUUGGUGGGGUAGUGGCUUACCAAGGCUUUGACGGGUAGCCGGCCUGAGAGGGUGACCGGCCACAUGGGGACUGAGAUACGGCCCAGACUCCUACGGGAGGCAGCAGUGGGGAAUAUUGCACAAUGGGCGGAAGCCUGAUGCAGCAACGCCGCGUUCGGGAUGACGGCCUUCGGGUUGUAAACCGCUUUCGCCUGUGACGAAGCGUGAGUGACGGUAAUUGGUAAAGAAGCACCGGCUAACUACGUG